UACGUAGGGGGCUAGCGUUGUCCGGAAUCAUUGGGCGUAAAGCGCGUGUAGGCGGUCCGGUAAGUCCGCUGUGAAAGUCGAGGGCUCAACCCUCGAAUGCCGGUGGAUACUGUCGGGCUUGAGUACGGGAGAGGCGAGUGGAAUUCCUGGUGUAGCGGUGAAAUGCGCAGAUAUCAGGAGGAACACCGAUUGCGAAAGCAGCUCGCUGGAACGUUACUGACGCUGAGACGCGAAAGCGUGGGGAGCAAACAGG
RNAcentral lists this ribosomal RNA (253 nucleotides) under uncultured bacterium. RNAcentral describes it as "partial 16S ribosomal RNA". It matches the Rfam family "Bacterial small subunit ribosomal RNA", at positions 524 to 776 of the family's 1533-position model. The record is from RNAcentral.